Molecule: ribosomal RNA, 333 nt
Filed under: uncultured bacterium
Lineage: Bacteria
Description: bacterial SSU rRNA
Rfam family: Bacterial small subunit ribosomal RNA
Source: RNAcentral
CGUGUAGGCGGAUCUGUAAGCCGAUGGUGAAAUCCCCGGGCUCAACCCUGGGUGGUCUGUCGGAACUGCAGGUCUAGAGAAAGCCAGAGGCAGGUGGAAUUCCAGGUGUAGAGGUGAAAUUCGUAGAGAUCUGGAGGAACACCGGCGGCGAAGGCGGCCUGCUGGGGCUUUUCUGACGCUGAGGCGCGAAAGCGUGGGGAGCAAACAGGAUUAGAUACCCUGGUAGUCCACGCUGUAAACGAUGAGCACUCGAUGUGCGAGGUAUACGACCCCUCGCGUGUCACAGCUAACGCAUUAAGUGCUCCGCCUGGGGAUUACGGUCGCAAGACUAAA